Molecule: long non-coding RNA, 246 nt
Filed under: Capsicum annuum
Lineage: Eukaryota; Viridiplantae; Streptophyta; Magnoliopsida; Solanales; Solanaceae
Description: long non-coding RNA (CANN_LNC006712)
Source: RNAcentral
GCGACUAAGUGAUUGUUGUUAAGUUCCACGACUGUGGGUGGAUGGAUUUUGCUUGACUGCUACGAUUUUGGUUAGAAGACUGCGACCGAGGUACCUAAGGCCAGUUUCUGAUCCAUGUCUUCAGCUGUACCUUUCCUGCUCUAUUCUGAUAAAUUUAUGCUUUGAUCCACAUCUUUUGAUCUCCUCAACUACAUUCCUUAAAAGAGUGGAUAUGAGUGUAUCUAACCAUGAAUAUGUCUCGUUUAC